This 492-nucleotide ribosomal RNA is filed under the name uncultured bacterium. RNAcentral's name for it is "partial 16S ribosomal RNA". It matches the Rfam family "Bacterial small subunit ribosomal RNA", at positions 29 to 507 of the family's 1533-position model. The record is from RNAcentral.
AGUGAACGCUGGCGGUAGGCCUAACACAUGCAAGUCGAACGGCAGCACAGUAAGAGCUUGCUCUUUCGGGUGGCGAGUGGCGGACGGGUGAAGAAUACAUCGGAAUCUACUUUUUCGUGGGGGAUAACGUAGGGAAACUUACGCUAAUACCGCAUACGACCUACGGGUGAAAGCAGGGGAUCUUCGGACCUUGCGCGAUUGAAUGAGCCGAUGUCGGAUUAGCUAGUUGGCGGGGUAAAGGCCCACCAAGGCGACGAUCCGUAGCUGGUCUGAGAGGAUGAUCAGCCACACUGGAACUGAGACACGGUCCAGACUCCUACGGGAGGCAGCAGUGGGGAAUAUUGGACAAUGGGCGCAAGCCUGAUCCAGCCAUACCGCGUGGGUGAAGAAGGCCUUCGGGUUGUAAAGCCCUUUUGUUGGGAAAGAAAAGCAGCAGGUUAAUACCCCGCUGUUCUGACGGUACCCAAAGAAUAAGCACCGGCUAACUUCGUG